Molecule: ribosomal RNA, 267 nt
Filed under: uncultured bacterium
Lineage: Bacteria
Description: partial 16S ribosomal RNA
Rfam family: Bacterial small subunit ribosomal RNA
Source: RNAcentral
UAUGGCGACCGGCGCACGGGUGAGUAACACGUAUCCAACCUGCCGAUGACUCGGGGAUAGCCUUUCGAAAGAAAGAUUAAUAUCCGAUGGCAUAGUUCUUCCGCAUGGUAGAACUAUUAAAGAAUUUCGGUCAUCGAUGGGGAUGCGUUCCAUUAGGUUGUUGGCGGGGUAACGGCCCACCAAGCCUUCGAUGGAUAGGGGUUCUGAGAGGAAGGUCCCCCACAUUGGAACUGAGACACGGUCCAAACUCCUACGGGAGGCAGCAUG